This 821-nucleotide long non-coding RNA is filed under the name Parus major (Great Tit). RNAcentral describes it as "lncRNA (ENSPMJG00000013101.1)". The record is from RNAcentral. Lineage: Eukaryota; Metazoa; Chordata; Aves; Passeriformes; Paridae.
CUCAGAGCGCCGCCGCCUCAGCCGCCCCGCCGGAAGCCCCGCCCCCCGUCCCGCUCUCUGCCAUCUGAUUGGGCAGCGGCUCUGUCAAUCAACCCCGGCGCUUUCCGCCUGGCCAAGCCACGCCCCCACCCUCGCGCUGAAGGGGCGGGGCCGGAAUGAGGGCGCAUCUUAAAGGAGCCGCGUUAUUAUUUCGUGAGGGGAGUGAGGCUCCGCUGAGAGACAGAGAGAUAAAUAAAUAGAUUAAUAAACAAUUUGAGCUUCUGGUGAAGAAACGGGAACUCGUAUGGAGUUCACAUGGAAUUUACGUGGAAUUCACAUGGAAUUGGUGCGACAAUCCAACCCUCUGGGGCCUUUGGUAAAGGCCGGGCAUUUUUGGAGCCCCCAGAGAAUCAUUUCCCCUUCCAUUGGGGAAGGGGAAUAAAAGAUUGGCAGCUCUGUAAGGAUCUCAGACAGGAUUUUAUGGAAUGGGAUUUAGGAAUUUCCAUCUAAAAUCUGCUUUUCCCUUGUUUUUUCCAAGUGGGAAUUCUUUGCUGCAUUCCAAAUCUGAGUGACAGAGAAAUUCAGAGAAAACUGAUUUAUUUUUUUCCCAGGAAAAUUUGAAUUUAUUUGUCUGAAUUCCCUGAUCUCACCCUUGUUUCUAUGGAAUUGUGGAUUUGUGCUUUCUGUGGGAAAAAUUUCUGGUGUUUUUUUCUUGGAGCAGAGGGUUGUAAUGAAAGGAUUUUGUUUUACUUCCCAAACACCACCAAUGAAUGAGUUUCUGAAACAAGGGAGGUACAGGAUGAGUUUAUUUCCUAAAAUAAAAUGGGAUAUCUGAUAUCUCA